This 528-nucleotide ribosomal RNA is filed under the name uncultured bacterium. RNAcentral's name for it is "bacterial SSU rRNA". It matches the Rfam family "Bacterial small subunit ribosomal RNA", at positions 9 to 531 of the family's 1533-position model. The record is from RNAcentral.
GAGUUUGAUCAUGGCUCAGAUUGAACGCUGGCGGCAGGCUUAACACAUGCAAGUCGAGCGGGGAGAUGUAGCUUGCUACAUUUCCUAGCGGCGGACGGGUGAGUAAUGCUUAGGAAUCUGCCUAUUAGUGGGGGACAACAUUCCGAAAGGAAUGCUAAUACCGCAUACGCCCUACGGGGGAAAGCAGGGGAUCUUCGGACCUUGCGCUAAUAGAUGAGCCUAAGUCAGAUUAGCUAGUUGGUGGGGUAAAGGCCUACCAAGGCGACGAUCUGUAGCGGGUCUGAGAGGAUGAUCCGCCACACUGGGACUGAGACACGGCCCAGACUCCUACGGGAGGCAGCAGUGGGGAAUAUUGGACAAUGGGCGCAAGCCUGAUCCAGCCAUGCCGCGUGUGUGAAGAAGGCCUUUUGGUUGUAAAGCACUUUAAGCGAGGAGGAGGCUACUUGGAUUAAUACUCUAGGAUAGUGGACGUUACUCGCAGAAUAAGCACCGGCUAACUCUGUGCCAGCAGCCGCGGUAAUACAGAGG